Zonotrichia albicollis (white-throated sparrow) is the source of this 468-nucleotide non-coding RNA. The record is from RefSeq and is a predicted model, not a curated record. Lineage: Eukaryota; Metazoa; Chordata; Aves; Passeriformes; Passerellidae.
AAUUAUCUCUGUGGACGGUGAGAAGGACUCAGAUGAAGUCCUUUACUGCUGGAAGAAGUUUGUUGGGGUAUCUUUAUGGAUAUCAUUUGCAGAGGGUUUCCAGAAGUGGCUCUUGAAGCUGACAGCUGCAGCCUACAACACAUCCAGUGUUUUGGAUACCUACUGUAAUGAAAGCUCAGAUGAGUGUAAGCACCAAAGGGAGUAAUUUCUCUCUGGAGCUGUUGGUCAGAAAAGCCAAGUGAACUUCCAAAAACCAUCCUAGGAUGAGCAGCAUUACCAUAAAGAUGCAACAGCCACACCAUGAUGGGAUAUUUGCUCAUAAGGGAUGAAGAAUAUGAGAGAGGGUCCUCAAGGUGCUGUAUGCUAGGCAGUUAAAAAUAUUGUAUUUCUGAACAGACUGCUCUGUGUCACUGUAAAAUGUCUCCACCUGAAUCAUGAAAAGGCAAACUCUCAGUGGAGAUCCACCCU